GUGGGGAAUAUUGGACAAUGGGCGAAAGCCUGAUCCAGCCAUGCCGCGUGUGUGAAGAAGGUCUUCGGAUUGUAAAGCACUUUAAGUUGGGAGGAAGGGCAGUAAGUUAAUACCUUGCUGUUUUGACGUUACCAACAGAAUAAGCACCGGCUAACUUCGUGCCAGCAGCCGCGGUAAUACGAAGGGUGCAAGCGUUAAUCGGAAUUACUGGGCGUAAAGCGCGCGUAGGUGGUUCAGCAAGUUGGAUGUGAAAGCCCCGGGCUCAACCUGGGAAUUGCAUCCAAAACUACUGAGCUAGAGUACGGUAGAGGGUGGUGGAAUUUCCUGUGUAGCGGUGAAAUGCGUAGAUAUAGGAAGGAACACCAGUGGCGAAGGCGACCACCUGGACUGAUACUGACACUGAGGUGCGAAAGCGUGGGGAGCAA
Molecule: ribosomal RNA, 425 nt
Filed under: uncultured Pseudomonas sp.
Lineage: Bacteria; Pseudomonadati; Pseudomonadota; Gammaproteobacteria; Pseudomonadales; Pseudomonadaceae
Description: bacterial SSU rRNA
Rfam family: Bacterial small subunit ribosomal RNA
Source: RNAcentral